GGCUUGUCGGCGUUCGCGGUUGUUUGGCCAUCCAGGGCCUUCCGCAGCGCCGCGAAAGCGCAGUUCUCGUUGGUGUAACGUUUUCUUUUUUUUUUUUUUCAGCCACUUCCGGCUCCUGCGUCUCUCCGGAAGCCUGCGAGUUCCGGAAGCCUUGGUAAUCCAGAUUCGGCUAGGAAAAGACAAGCUUUCCAGAGAAUGUUUCAGAGAAAGUUACGUGGAGCGUGGGCGUUUCGCAGACUCCUAAGUGGUCUGGAACCUAACCUGCAAUGUCUCUGAGGUAUGCCUGUUUUCUUACGUGAUUCUGAUGAAGUCACAAGUUUGAAAACCACUAGACUAGAGGAGCAGAGACCACAGGACUGUGAUGGUGAAGACCACAGUUUAGAAGGAUUAAAAGCCCAGAGAUAUAUGUAUCUUUAUCAUAGACACAUAUAUCUGUUAGCAGUUAAAAACUACCAGAAUAAGAUUACGUUGUUACAAAGAAAGUUGAAUGUGUUACAAAUAGACAAGAUCUAUCCUGUUUUAAAUCACUGCCUUCUUGAUUUUAGCACUUAUGUAGAUCAAGUAGGUUUAAAAUAGAUUAGUUUUACCAGAGGGGCAUCAGACUUCUAAAAUUCUACCCAGAUUUUUUCUGUCGUAUUUACAUAACUGCCUACUGAACUUUUCCACUUAGAUGUCUCAUAGGAUCCUCAGAU
Molecule: small RNA, 692 nt
Filed under: Pan troglodytes (chimpanzee)
Lineage: Eukaryota; Metazoa; Chordata; Mammalia; Primates; Hominidae
Description: processed transcript
Source: RNAcentral